UACGUAGGGCGCAAGCGUUGUCCGGAAUUAUUGGGCGUAAAGAGCUCGUAGGUGGCUUGUCACGUCGGGUGUGAAAGCUUGGGGCUUAACUCCAGGUCUGCAUUCGAUACGGGCUGGCUAGAGGUAGGUAGGGGAGAACGGAAUUCCUGGUGUAGCGGUGAAAUGCGCAGAUAUCAGGAAGAACACCCGUGGCGAAGGCGGCUCUCUGGGACGGUACUGACGCUGAGACGCGAAAGCGUGGGGAGCGAACCGG
This 253-nucleotide ribosomal RNA is filed under the name uncultured bacterium. Its description in RNAcentral is "partial 16S ribosomal RNA". It matches the Rfam family "Bacterial small subunit ribosomal RNA", at positions 524 to 776 of the family's 1533-position model. The record is from RNAcentral.